Molecule: ribosomal RNA, 264 nt
Filed under: uncultured archaeon
Lineage: Archaea
Description: partial 16S ribosomal RNA
Rfam family: Archaeal small subunit ribosomal RNA
Source: RNAcentral
AGACGUCUACAUUAGAUACCCGUGUAGUCCCAGCCGUAAACUAUGCGCGUUAGGUGUAUCGGUGACCACGAGUUACCGAGGUGCCGAAGGGAAACCGUGAAACGUGCCGCCUGGGAAGUACGGUCGCAAGGCUGAAACUUAAAGGAAUUGGCGGGGGAGCACCACAACAGGUGGAGCCUGCGGUUUAAUUGGACUCAACGCCGGACAACUCACCGGGACGACAGCAAUAUGUAGGCCAGGCUGAAGACCUUGCCUGAAUCGCUG